AGUCGAGCGGCAGCGGGAAGUACCUUGCUACUUUUGCCGGCGAGCGGCAGACGGGUGAGUAGUGCCUGGGGAUCUGCCCUGUCGAGGGGGAUAACAGUUGGAAACGACUGCUAAUACCGCAUACGCCCUACAGGGGAAAGGAGGGGACCUUAGGGCCUUUCCCGAUUGGAUGAACCCAUGUGGGAUUAUCUAGUUGGUGGGGUAAUGGCUCACCAAGGCGACUAUCCCUAUCUGGUCUGAGAGGAUGAUCACCCACACUGGAACUGACACACGGUCCACACUCCUACGGGAGGCAGCAGUGGGGAAUAUUGCACAGUGGGGGAAACCCUGAUGCACCCGUGCCGCGUGUGUGAAGAAGGCCUUCGGGUUGUAAAGCACUUUCAGCGGGGAGGAAAGGUUGGCGCCUAAUACGUGUCAACUGUGACGUUACUCGCAAAAGAAGCACCGGCUAACUCCGUGCCAGCACCCGCGGUAAUACAGAGGGUGCAAGCGUUAAUCAGAAUUACUGGGCGUAAAGCGCACGCACGCGGUUGGAUAACUUAUAUGUGAAAGCCCCGGGCUCAACCUGAGAAUUGCAUUUAAAACUGUCCAGCUAGAGUCGUGUAGAGGGGGGUAGAAUUCC
This 622-nucleotide ribosomal RNA is filed under the name uncultured bacterium. RNAcentral's name for it is "bacterial SSU rRNA". It matches the Rfam family "Bacterial small subunit ribosomal RNA", at positions 60 to 670 of the family's 1533-position model. The record is from RNAcentral.